RNAcentral lists this ribosomal RNA (254 nucleotides) under uncultured bacterium. RNAcentral's name for it is "partial 16S ribosomal RNA". It matches the Rfam family "Bacterial small subunit ribosomal RNA", at positions 524 to 776 of the family's 1533-position model. The record is from RNAcentral.
GACGUAGGGGGCGAGCGUUGUCCGGAGUUACUGGGCGUAAAGGGCGCGCAGGCGGCCGCGCCGGCCAUCCCGUGAAAGCCCCCGGCUCAACCGGGCGGUGGCGGGUGGGACCGCGCGGCUGGAGGGUGGGAGAGGCGGGCGGAAUUCCCGGUGUAGUGGUGAAAUGCGUAGAUACCGGGAGGAACACCCGCGGCGAAGGCGGCCCGCUGGGCCAUCCCUGACGCUGAGGCGCGAAGGCCAGGGGAGCGAACGGG